This 60-nucleotide microRNA precursor is filed under the name Triops cancriformis. RNAcentral describes it as "microRNA tcf-mir-275 precursor". Its record names the gene tcf-mir-275. The record is from miRBase by way of RNAcentral. Lineage: Eukaryota; Metazoa; Arthropoda; Branchiopoda; Notostraca; Triopsidae.
CUGUGCUACGGCAGGUGCUUGCGUCUGAGUCAGAUCAGUCAGGUACCUGAAGUAGCGCGC